RNAcentral lists this ribosomal RNA (497 nucleotides) under uncultured bacterium. RNAcentral's name for it is "partial 16S ribosomal RNA". It matches the Rfam family "Bacterial small subunit ribosomal RNA", at positions 28 to 507 of the family's 1533-position model. The record is from RNAcentral.
GAUGAACGCUGGCGGCGUGCCUAAUACAUGCAAGUCGAGCGAACGGACGAGAAGCUUGCUUCUCUGAUGUUAGCGGCGGACGGGUGAGUAACACGUGGAUAACCUACCUAUAAGACUGGGAUAACUUCGGAAAACCGGAGCUAAUACCGGAUGAUAUUUUGAACCGCAUGGUUCAAAAGUGAAAGACGGUCUUGCUGUCACUUAUAGAUGGAUCCGCGCUGCAUUAGCUAGUUGGUAAGGUAACGGCUUACCAAGGCAACGAUGCAUAGCCGACCUGAGAGGGGGAUCGGCCACACUGGAACUGAGACACGGUCCAGACUCCUACGGGAGGCAGCAGUAGGGAAUCUUCCGCAAUGGGCGAAAGCCUGACGGAGCAACGCCGCGUGAGUGAUGAAGGUCUUCGGAUCGUAAAACUCUGUUAUUAGGGAAGAACAUAUGUGUAAGUAACUGUGCACAUCUUGACGGUACCUAAUCAGAAAGCCACGGCUAACUACGUG